GUGGGAGGGGGCUUGCUCCCGAUGGCAGUGUGUCAGGCAGCUAAUCUGUAGCUGACACUCCGCUAUCGGGAGCAAGCCCCCUCCCAC
This 87-nucleotide unclassified non-coding RNA is filed under the name Pseudomonas synxantha. Lineage: Bacteria; Pseudomonadati; Pseudomonadota; Gammaproteobacteria; Pseudomonadales; Pseudomonadaceae. The record is from RNAcentral.